CACUGGAAGACACAGGCAUUUCAAUUUCAAUGCUAUCUAUCACCCUGACCCUAACCCUAACCCUAGCCCUAACCCUACCCGAAUCCUAAGUCAUCCUCAGGUACCGCUAUUUCCUCACUAUUCAUGACCCUUACGAAAAGAAGAACCCUAACCCUAACAAUCAUACCCACACUCCAAACGUCAGGUACAUGAAUUGGAACCCUAAACCUAAACCUACUCCUAAGCCUUACACUAACCCUAAGCCGCAGGACCAAAUCACAAUACCCAGGUGCUUGACAUUUGACAUUAUCCUUCCCCCCUCCUCGAGAUCUUACGCUAUUACUAACUUUCCAACCCACACUGGAAGACACAGGCAUUUCAAUUUCAAUGCUAUCUAUCACCCUGACCCUAACCCUAACCCUAGCCCUAACCCUACCCGAACAAUAAGUCAUCCUCAGGUACCGCUAUUUCUGCACUAUCCAUGACCCUUAUGAAAAGAAGAACCCUAACCCUAACAAUCAUACCCACACUCCAAACGUCAGGUACAUGAAUUGGAACCCUAAACCUAAACCUACUCCUAACCCUAACCCUAACCCUAAGCCGCAGGACCAAAUCACAAUACCCAGGUGCUUGACAUUUGACAUUAUCCCUCACACUCCUGAAGGACUUAUGGUAUUACUAACUUUCCAACCCACACUGGAAGACACAGGCAUUUCAAUUUCAAUGCUAUCUAUCACCCUGACCCUAACCCUAACCCUAGC
RNAcentral lists this long non-coding RNA (740 nucleotides) under Heterocephalus glaber (naked mole-rat). Its description in RNAcentral is "lncRNA (ENSHGLG00100042507.1)". Lineage: Eukaryota; Metazoa; Chordata; Mammalia; Rodentia; Bathyergidae. The record is from RNAcentral.